GACGAACGUUGGCGGCGUGCUUAACACAUGCAAGUCGAACGGAAAGGCCCUGCUUUUGUGGGGUGCUCGAGUGGCGAACGGGUGAGUAACACGUGAGUAACCUGCCCUUGACUUUGGGAUAACUUCAGGAAACUGGGGCUAAUACCGGAUAGGAGCUCCUGCUGCAUGGUGGGGGUUGGAAAGUUUCGGCGGUUGGGGAUGGACUCGCGGCUUAUCAGCUUGUUGGUGGGGUAGUGGCUUACCAAGGCUUUGACGGGUAGCCGGCCUGAGAGGGUGACCGGCCACAUUGGGACUGAGAUACGGCCCAGACUCCUACGGGAGGCAGCAGUGGGGAAUAUUGCACAAUGGGCGGAAGCCUGAUGCAGCAACGCCGCGUGCGGGAUGACGGCCUUCGGGUUGUAAACCGCUUUCGCCUGUGACGAAGCGUGAGUGACGGUAAUGGGUAAAGAAGCACCGGCUAACUACGUGCCAGCAGCCGCGGUGAUACGUAGGGUGCGAGCGUUGUCCGGAUUUAUUGGGCGUAAAGGGCUCGUAGGUGGUUGAUCGCGUCGGAAGUGUAAUCUUGGGGCUUAACCCUGAGCGUGCCUUCGAUACGGGUUGACUUGAGGAAGGUAGGGGAGAAUGGAAUUCCUGGUGGAGCGGUGGAAUGCGCAGAUAUCAGGAGGAACACCAGUGGCGAAGGCGGUUCUCUGGGCCUUUCCUGACGCUGAGGAGCGAAAGCGUGGGGAGCGAACAGGCUUAGAUACCCUGGUAGUCCACGCUGUAAACGGUGGGUACUAGGUGUGGGGUCCAUUCCACGGGUUCCGUGCCGUAGCUAACGCUUUAAGUACCCCGCCUGGGGAGUACGGCCGCAAGGCUAAAACUCAAAGGAAUUGACGGGGCCCCGCACAAGAGGCGGAGCAUGCGGAUUAAUUCGAUGCAACGCGUAGAACCUUACCUGGGUUUGACAUGGAUCGGGAGUGCUCAGAGAUGGGUGUGCCUCUUUUGGGGUCGGUUCACAGGUGGUGCAUGGCUGUCGUCAGCUCGUGUCGUGAGAUGUUGGGUUAAGUCCCGCAACGAGCGCAACCCUUGUUCACUGUUGCCAGCACGUUAUGGUGGGGACUCAGUGGAGACCGCCGGGGUCAACUCGGAGGAAGGUGGGGAUGACGUCAAGUCAUCAUGCCCCUUAUGUCCAGGGCUUCACGCAUGCUACAAUGGCUGGUACAGAGAGUGGCGAGCCUGUGAGGGUGAGCGAAUCUCGGAAAGCCGGUCUCAGUUCGGAUUGGGGUCUGCAACUCGACCUCAUGAAGUCGGAGUCGCUAGUAAUCGCAGAUCAGCAACGCUGCGGUGAAUACGUUCCCGGGGCU
This 1346-nucleotide ribosomal RNA is filed under the name uncultured bacterium. RNAcentral describes it as "partial 16S ribosomal RNA". It matches the Rfam family "Bacterial small subunit ribosomal RNA", at positions 28 to 1381 of the family's 1533-position model. The record is from RNAcentral.